UUGGAGGGCAAGUCUGGUGCCAGCAGCCGCGGUAAUUCCAGCUCCAAUAGCGUAUAUUAAAGUUGUUGCAGUUAAAAAGCUCGUAGUUGAAUUUCAGGAUCAAAGAAUCGGUCAUGCCUUGGUAUGUACUGGUUUUAUUGGUUCUCACCUUCUAAAGAACCAUAAUGUCAUUCAUUUGAUGUUAUGGGGAAUUAGGACUGUUACCUUGAAAAAAUUAGAGUGUUUAAAGCAGGCUUACGCUUGAAUACAUUAGCAUGGAAUAAUGAAAUAGGACAUCAGAUUCUAUUUUGUUGGUUUCUAGGAUCGAUGUAAUGAUUAAUAGGGAUAGUUGGGGGCAUUAGUAUUCAAUUGUCAGAGGUGAAAUUCUUGGAUUUAUUGAAGACUAACUACUGCGAAAGCAUUUGCCAAGGAUGUUUUCAUUAAUCAAGAACGAAAGUUAGGGGAUCGAAGACGAUCAGAUACCGUCGUAGUCUUAACCAUAAACUAUGCCGACUAGGGAUCGGAUGAUGUUAAUUUUUAAUGUACUC
This 527-nucleotide ribosomal RNA is filed under the name uncultured Glomeraceae. RNAcentral describes it as "SSU rRNA". It matches the Rfam family "Eukaryotic small subunit ribosomal RNA", at positions 548 to 1080 of the family's 1831-position model. Lineage: Eukaryota; Fungi; Glomeromycota; Glomeromycetes; Glomerales; Glomeraceae. The record is from RNAcentral.